This is a long non-coding RNA of Pangasianodon hypophthalmus (striped catfish), 1654 nucleotides long. RefSeq lists it as uncharacterized. The record is from RefSeq and is a predicted model, not a curated record. The transcript is spliced from 3 exons. NCBI's taxonomy places the organism in Eukaryota, Metazoa, Chordata, Actinopteri, Siluriformes, Pangasiidae.
CUAACUUGGGAGUUACCAGCAGGCAUAUGGCCAAACCUGACCUCCACAUGAUUAACCAUGUUGGCCAGAAUAUGUGCCACAGAGUUGGGUAUGGGUGAACUGGGGCCUGUCUGACUCUCCCAAAAGCUGUCAACAAAGUCUUUGCAGUAUGGCAUAGCGAUCUCUUUUAGGUGCCAUGUGAAAGAGUGCAUUCACCACUGUGGAUUGCAUUACAACAUCCAACUCUACAUGGGUCCCUGCCAUGUUUAGAGUGGCUGCCAUGGCUAGCCUACAGCGUGUCAUGGGCACCCGGGGGCAGAAGAGGCAGGGGCAGGACCAGACUACUCUCCAGAUGCUGCAGAGACCAGAGCUGAACAAGGGAAAUAGCCUGGACAAUCCUCCCAGAUACAGCCAAAGGCUCAGUAUCAUUGCUUGUGCUCUACUGGUAAGUGGCAAUUAAUAGAUUUCAGCUGAGCCAUGUUUGCUUCCAAAAUCUUUAGACCAGGUUAGACCAGGAGUGUUCAACCAAUUUGCAGUCAGGGAUAUACUUAUUUUGUGAGCUAUUCAAAUAUUUAAAUGUGCACAAUAAGAUUUUUCUAUUUAUUGGAGGUAUUUGAACAUUUUUUUAAUUAAAACAGGCUAUGUUUGUGAGUUAUAGACUUUUGGAUUAAAUUCAUCCAAUUCAAGUGACCUGUCAGACAGACUAACAACUAGAGCUCUAAAUGAGUCUAAUAAUUUUCAUAAAUUAUGAUGGAUCGUAACAAAAUAUUGAAAAAAAAACAUGUGGACCCCCUGUCUGUUAGACUCUCAGUCAAGGAUUAAAUCUGCUGGAUGAGCGUGCCAUUUUGACAUAGGCUCCAGUCAGCAGUCAGCACAGGGAUGUCCAAGUCAUGCCAAGUCAUGUAGUUGGCAGAAGAUGUGGAAUAUUCAAAGGAGAAAAAGCAGAGGGAGAAACCGACUCAGCAGGAAAGAGAUGAGCGAGUUCAGCUUCCUGUUUGAGAGAAACACCGGCUAGAGGGAUAAGAGAUGAGGUGGAGCUAUGUGUCCUCUCCUCCUGCUGUAGACUCUUACUGCAGACAUCUUCCAGAAACUUCUUCACACCGUGAGCCAUCUGAGGAACCAGUACCCGAAAUGCAGCCCUCCACUCAAACUCCAGACACACCACCUACACACAGAUACAGGACCAGAAUUAAGCAGGUACAUUUAAUGUUGUGGAUCAUCCGCAGAAGUGAAUUCCUGUGAUCACUUACAUUAUAGCAGCUAUAAAGAGUCAUUACCUCACACAGCUUCUCUAUUUUUCUUUCUCUCUUGAAGUUAAUAAGACAAAAGAAAAUGCAGGUUGUCAUAUUACCUAGAAACCUGAAAGACAUCUAUGCUGCCAAAAACAUUAUGUCAGAGCUUUACCUCUGACUGUUACAAAGUGCUGACACUGGAGACUCCUUCCAGAAAUACUAAAUGCAUGUCUCCUUACAGAAAACUUCACCAUAUCUACAUUUUCACACAUUUUUUGUUGUAGUUGUUGCUGUUGUUUAUUAAAUCUGUUUAUAUGGAACAUCCACUGUACAUGUCGCUGUGUAAGUUGUUACUAGAGAAUUAAGAGCAUUAAUUUAAAAAAAAAAAAGAAAGAAAGAAAAAAGAAAAAAAUGAGAUUUGCCUUGAAGCCAAUAUCAGACAC